This is a non-coding RNA of Carica papaya (papaya), 1037 nucleotides long. NCBI's taxonomy places the organism in Eukaryota, Viridiplantae, Streptophyta, Magnoliopsida, Brassicales, Caricaceae. The record is from RefSeq and is a predicted model, not a curated record.
CUUACAGGUUCUGCUAAGUUUGCUUUUCCUGCUCUGGUUUUUUUUUUGCUUUAAUCUUUUUCCAUCAAAUCUGGUAUCAGAGCCAGGCUCUGGUCUUUUGGGCAAUUGAGUAAAAGGUUUUGGGGAGUGUAGGGAAACACAAGAGAAAGUGCAGAGAUGGCAGUAAACGUUUUUUCAUCAUCCUCACAGCCGCUCAUACCGAUUUUCACAGGUGAAAAGUAUGAGUUUUGGAGUAUUAAGAUGAAGACUCUUUUCAAGUCUCAGGAUCUUUGGAAUUUGGUCGAAUAUGGGUUCGUGGAUUUAGAAGACCCAGAUGAAGAGGCAGAAGAAAGAUUGAAAGAAACCAAAAAGAAUGAUGCCAAAGCUUUAUUCCUAAUUCAACAAGCUGUCCAUAAAACAAUUUUCUCAAAAAUUGCAACAGCAGCAAAAUCUUUGGAGGCCUGACAAAUUUUGAAGAAGGAGUUCCAAGGCUCCUCGAAGGUAAUCACGGUGAAGGGGGAGAUGCAUGAAAAUGCUGCUGGAUGUGACAGUGGCAGUGGCAGUGGCAAAGGUGGCUUUCAUGAAAGAGGCCAAUGAAAAGGUGCAGACAGAAGCGCAUCUAAUGAAGAGAGGCAAAGGAAGAUCUUUAAAUAUUACUACUAUAACACACCAGAUCAUAGAGAGGCUUAUUGUUGGAAAAAAUAAAAAGAUGAGAACAACCAAGCAAGUUUUACAGAGGAACCAAAUGAAGAAAGUAAGUUGUUCAUGACUCUUUUUUGAGAGAGAGAGCAGUCUAACAAUGUUUGAUUUUUGGACAGCAGUUGUUUUAACCAUAUGUGUGGAACAAAAUCAUUAUUUAAGGAACUUGAUGAGUCCGAUAAAACAGAUGUGAUGCUAGGAGACAGCAAGAAGAUUCGAGUUGAAGGCAAAGAUACCAUAAGCAUUAAAACUAGUCAAGGGAAUGCUAAGAUUUUACAAGAUGUGUUGUUUGUUCCUGAUUUAUCUCAUAAUCUACUUAGCAUUGGACAAUUAAUGCUUAGUGGAUACUCAAUUCUGUU